CAGUAGCCGCGGUAAUACGAAGGGUGCAAGCGUUAAUCGGAAUUACUGGGCGUAAAGCGUGCGUAGGCGGUUUGUUAAGUCUGCUGUGAAAUCCCCGGGCUCAACCUGGGAAUGGCAGUGGAUACUGGCAAGCUAGAGUGUGUCAGAGGAUGGUGGAAUUCCCGGUGUAGCGGUGAAAUGCGUAGAGACCGGGAGGAACAUCAGUGGCGAAGGCGGCCAUCUGGGACAACACUGACGCUGAGGCACGAAAGCGUGGGGAGCAAACAGGAUUAGAUACCCCCGUAGUCCCUGUCUCUUAUAA
RNAcentral lists this ribosomal RNA (301 nucleotides) under uncultured bacterium. RNAcentral describes it as "partial 16S ribosomal RNA". It matches the Rfam family "Bacterial small subunit ribosomal RNA", at positions 509 to 809 of the family's 1533-position model. The record is from RNAcentral.